GACGAACGCUGGCGGCGUGCUUAACACAUGCAAGUCGAACGGAAAGGCCCUGCUUGCAGGGUACUCGAGUGGCGAACGGGUGAGUAACACGUGGGUGAUCUGCCCUGCACUUCGGGAUAAGCUUGGGAAACUGGGUCUAAUACCGGAUAGGAGCCAUCUUUAGUGUGGUGGUUGGAAAGUUUUUUCGGUGUAGGAUGAGCUCGCGGCCUAUCAGCUUGUUGGUGGGGUAAUGGCCUACCAAGGCGGCGACGGGUAGCCGGCCUGAGAGGGUGUACGGUCACAUUGGGACUGAGAUACGGCCCAGACUCCUACGGGAGGCAGCAGUGGGGAAUAUUGCACAAUGGGCGCAAGCCUGAGGCAGCGACGCCGCGUGGGGGAUGAAGGCCUUCGGGUUGUAAACUCCUUUCGCUAGGGACGAAGCUUUUUUGUGACGGUACCUAGAUAAGAAGCACCGGCUAACUACGUG
This 466-nucleotide ribosomal RNA is filed under the name uncultured bacterium. RNAcentral describes it as "partial 16S ribosomal RNA". It matches the Rfam family "Bacterial small subunit ribosomal RNA", at positions 28 to 507 of the family's 1533-position model. The record is from RNAcentral.